Molecule: ribosomal RNA, 301 nt
Filed under: uncultured bacterium
Lineage: Bacteria
Description: partial 16S ribosomal RNA
Rfam family: Bacterial small subunit ribosomal RNA
Source: RNAcentral
CAGUCGCCGCGGUAAUACGAAGGGUGCAAGCGUUACUCGGAAUUACUGGGCGUAAAGCGUGCGUAGGUGGUGGUUUAAGUCCGUUGUGAAAGCCCUGGGCUCAACCUGGGAAUUGCAGUGGAUACUGGGUCACUAGAGUGUGGUAGAGGAUAGUGGAAUUUCCGGUGUAGCAGUGAAAUGCGUAGAGAUCGGAAGGAACAUCUGUGGCGAAGGCGACUAUCUGGGCCAACACUGACACUGAGGCACGAAAGCGUGGGGAGCAAACAGGAUUAGAUACCCGAGUAGUCUCUGUCUCUUAUAC